CUAGGAUGCAAACUUUAAACGAAUCGUUAGUAAGAAACGAGGAAAAACUAACUGAUGCGGAGAGAAAAAUAAAAGAAAAAGAGCAGACAAUACAUUUCUUAGAGGAUGAGUUGAAGCAAAUCAAAAGUGAUCUUAAAAGAACCAAUGAAGAAUUGAGAAAAAUAAAGCAGGAGAGAAAUAAUGAACAAAUGCGUACAAAAGAGAAGACCCUGGAAAUGUCCAGAGAAAAAGUCAAAGUAGAACAGCAACAGCGGGAAUGGGAAUCAGCUUUGUCAAGUAAA
This is a long non-coding RNA of Saccostrea echinata, 281 nucleotides long. RefSeq lists it as uncharacterized. Lineage: Eukaryota; Metazoa; Mollusca; Bivalvia; Ostreida; Ostreidae. The record is from RefSeq and is a predicted model, not a curated record. The transcript is spliced from 2 exons.